AAGGGUCGAGUGAUGAUUUAAUUGCAUAGUUCAGAUGACUAUUCUCUGAUUAGAAUGCAAAAAGUCUUUCGCUCCUAUCUGACGACUCUG
This is a small nucleolar RNA of Macadamia integrifolia, 90 nucleotides long. RefSeq annotates it as small nucleolar RNA snR60/Z15/Z230/Z193/J17. Lineage: Eukaryota; Viridiplantae; Streptophyta; Magnoliopsida; Proteales; Proteaceae. The record is from RefSeq and is a predicted model, not a curated record. The transcript has a single exon.